UGCCCGAUAGUGUAGCGGUAGCACGUCAACCUUUGGAGUUGAAAUCCCUGGUUCGAAUCCAGGUCGGGCAG
Molecule: transfer RNA, 71 nt
Filed under: Dehalococcoidia bacterium
Lineage: Bacteria; Bacillati; Chloroflexota; Dehalococcoidia
Also listed under: 1 other name
Description: tRNA-Gln
Rfam family: tRNA
About the family: Transfer RNA (tRNA) molecules are approximately 80 nucleotides in length. Their secondary structure includes four short double-helical elements and three loops (D, anti-codon, and T loops).
Source: RNAcentral